RNAcentral lists this long non-coding RNA (660 nucleotides) under Helianthus annuus (common sunflower). The record is from RNAcentral. Lineage: Eukaryota; Viridiplantae; Streptophyta; Magnoliopsida; Asterales; Asteraceae.
GAGCCUCCAUCUCCAUUCCAGCAACUGAUUAUUUGUUACAUCCAAUCUAUUACAAUCUCAAACCCUAAAUCUCUGUCGCUUAUGACUUUGAAGAUUUCAAGCUGGCCGAUUUCAUAUAUUGAUUUCAUAUGGAUCGUGACCAUUUCUUUUGGAUCAUCGGACGACGACUCGGGCGAUUCCUGAGGCUGAAGACAACAACGGCAAGAGGCACUCCAGCGGCGCGAUUAGGGUUUCGCUGUGAACCCUAACAACAGUGGCAGCGGCGCAUUUUAUUCUUGAAGAUUUGAUUUUUUCCAAUGUAUCAAACCGUUUGUGUUCUUCUAAUCCGUCUCUUGCUCUAAUUGUUUAUUUGUUUUUUUAUUUUCUUCAGGUGCAAUCCAAGUUAAGUUUGUGAAAAUUUAGUCAUAAAAUUAAGCAUCAAUUUUGUUAUUAGAGAAGGCUUGCAUUUGGCUUUAUUUCAUGUAUGGAAACAAGCUUUGUGAUGACAAAGUUCCUUAUCUGAUUCACCAUACAUAUACUAUUUGGUAAUUUCAACCCAUUUUUAUAUGGUAUACCCAUUUGUUGAUUAUUACAAUGGCGCCACCGCAUUGCAUUGCAUUUUGGUCACCAGUGGUGCCGGUUAUAUUGGCAGUCACACCGUCUUGCAACUGCUGUUAAGCG